Long non-coding RNA from Hyla sarda, 361 nucleotides. RefSeq lists it as uncharacterized. The transcript has 3 exons. The record is from RefSeq and is a predicted model, not a curated record. NCBI's taxonomy places the organism in Eukaryota, Metazoa, Chordata, Amphibia, Anura, Hylidae.
GGCCCAGAGCUGAAGAUACAGAAGAGGAUAGCCGGAGAACCACUGCACGGAAAGGGACCAGGCUGCCCGGAGAUAUGAGCUGCAUCUGCAUCCUACACUGAGAGGAGACCUGUCACUUAUCGGCAUCUGCACUGUGGAUAGAAAAGUAUGUGGACAGCCUGCGCUGAAAUGAGACCUCGUCUGAGAUGAAGUUUUGAUUGGAAGUUAACAUGGCAGUCUGGGCCGGAUGGAGAAGAAAAGGAAAGAGGACCACACCAAUCAAAAAAGAUGUAAAUUGUCACUUAAAACAUCACUUAAUUUAACAGUAUGGGAAAGGAAGGGGGUGGCCGAUACAGCGCCUCAUCAGGAGUGCAAGGAGCAC